UACAGAGGGUGCAAACGUUGCUCGGAAUUAUUGGGCGUAAAGCGCGUGUAGGCGGCUUGUUAAGUUGGUUGUGAAAACCCAUGGCUCAACCAUGGAAGGGCGUCCAAAACUGGCAAGCUAGAGUCCCGACGAGGAUGGCGGAAUUCCCAGUGUAGAGGUGAAAUUCGUAGAUAUUGGGAGGAACACCGGUGGCGAAGGCGGCCUUCUGGACAGUAACUGACGCUGAGACGCGAAAGCGUGGGGAGCAAACAGG
This 253-nucleotide ribosomal RNA is filed under the name uncultured bacterium. Its description in RNAcentral is "partial 16S ribosomal RNA". It matches the Rfam family "Bacterial small subunit ribosomal RNA", at positions 524 to 776 of the family's 1533-position model. The record is from RNAcentral.